GGCUUGUUGGUCUAAUGGUAUGAUUCUUGUUUAGGGUGCAAGAGGUCCCAGGUUCAAAUCCUGGACGAGCCC
RNAcentral lists this transfer RNA (72 nucleotides) under Trichechus manatus latirostris (Florida manatee). RNAcentral's name for it is "tRNA-Pro (AGG) (tRNA-Pro-AGG-3-1)". It matches the Rfam family "tRNA". From Rfam's summary of the family: Transfer RNA (tRNA) molecules are approximately 80 nucleotides in length. The record is from Rfam by way of RNAcentral. Lineage: Eukaryota; Metazoa; Chordata; Mammalia; Sirenia; Trichechidae.